This 175-nucleotide ribosomal RNA is filed under the name Cladosporium cladosporioides. Its description in RNAcentral is "partial 18S ribosomal RNA". It matches the Rfam family "Eukaryotic small subunit ribosomal RNA", at positions 1659 to 1831 of the family's 1831-position model. Lineage: Eukaryota; Fungi; Ascomycota; Dothideomycetes; Cladosporiales; Cladosporiaceae. RNAcentral also lists the same sequence under 2 other names. The record is from RNAcentral.
UUUGUACACACCGCCCGUCGCUACUACCGAUUGAAUGGCUCGGUGAGGCCUUCGGACUGGCCCAGGGAGGUCGGCAACGACCACCCAGGGCCGGAAAGUUGGUCAAACCCGGUCAUUUAGAGGAAGUAAAAGUCGUAACAAGGUCUCCGUAGGUGAACCUGCGGAGGGAUCAUUA